RNAcentral lists this ribosomal RNA (1202 nucleotides) under Triticum aestivum (bread wheat). RNAcentral describes it as "partial small subunit ribosomal RNA". Lineage: Eukaryota; Viridiplantae; Streptophyta; Magnoliopsida; Poales; Poaceae. The record is from RNAcentral.
GUUUCGGGUUAACAGCAAGGGGUUUAGGGAGGUGGGUCUAGGUCGCGGCGGCGUGGUUGAUGAGGUGGUGGCAGGGAAGGUUUGGGAUCAGGACCGGUGGGACACGAGGGGAAGGAACACGCCGCGGCGGGGAUGGAGAGAAGGAGGCGACUGGAGGGCAAGCCACCUUCGUCGCGUCGGUAACGGCCUAAACCGGCCCGACCAGUAGCCACAACAAGCCUAGACCGGCGCGACCAGCAGCCACGACGGCCUAGACCGACGAGGCCCGGAGUAUGUGCGGCGGGGCCAACAAGUUGAGAGGUGGCGGUGAAGGGGGUAGUAGUAAGGUAUACGGAACGGGCCUAGGCACUCUCCCAUUCUGGCCCUCACAUCGGCGAACAGAGGACUCCUCGAGCAGGGGCUGCCGGAGAGAUACCUGAAGGAGGUGGUGUGAGGGUUGCGGUGACGGAAGUCUUGCGCCAGGUAUUAGAUCAUGAAAACGCCCUUCGUGGUCUAGCAGGUAGCUGGCGCUCGACGUAGCUGUAGCUCGCAAGGAGAAGAACCACCCCGCACGUGGAAGACCCCCACUUCCGGACGUCGUGGACGACGAUACCUCUUGCCUACCGCGCCACCAGCAUCCCGACGAGGUUUUGUGGAGAUGUCAGCAGUGGUCAGUGUGGUGCUGCGGAGAGAGUAGUAGCUCGAGUAGUGGACAUAUUCGACCGUAGAAGUAAAGUUUUUAUCUAUUUUCUCCUUUUCCCCUAUGGUCUUCUGUGUUCGUAGACCUUCAUAAGAUUCACAUACCGUCUUCGUUCGACUCCAUAGAGUUUCUAUGUGUUCAACAACCUCCAAACCUUCUACAUGUUCAACGACCUCCAAACCUGCUAGAAUGUUCAACCACCUCACUAUUAUAUAUAAUGGAGGCAGGGUUUAAUACAACAGAAUCUGAACUUCCACAAAUCCAUGUAGGCAUAGAUCUGUUUAUUAAGCCAUCUAUCCCUCAUACAUUAUACGGAAGAAACAACUCGGAUUUCUAAAACGUUCAAAGUGAAACGAGUAAAACCACCAACAAAACCGUGUAUUCGGUACCUUAAGAGUAAAACCUACACACCGUGUUAAAGAAUAGGAUCUUUGUAUACAUGAAACGUAACACCGUCUUACAAGAAUACAUAAACUAACCAAUUACAAUAACUUACUCUGGAACGUACAUUGUAACUAAUUUC